AGAGUUUGAUCAUGGCUCAGGAUGAACGCUAGCGGCAGGCUUAACACAUGCAAGUCGAGGGGUAUAGGUUUUCGGACCUAGAGACCGGCGCACGGGUGCGUAACGCGUAUGCAAUCUACCUUUUACAGAGGGAUAGCCCAGAGAAAUUUGGAUUAAUACCUCAUAGUAUUAUUGAAUGGCAUCAUUUAAUAAUUAAAGUCACAACGGUAAAAGAUGAGCAUGCGUCCCAUUAGCUAGUUGGUAAGGUAACGGCUUACCAAGGCAACGAUGGGUAGGGGUCCUGAGAGGGAGAUCCCCCACACUGGUACUGAGACACGGACCAGACUCCUACGGGAGGCAGCAGUGAGGAAUAUUGGUCAAUGGGCGCAAGCCUGAACCAGCCAUGCCGCGUGCAGGAUGACGGUCCUAUGGAUUGUAAACUGCUUUUGUACAGGAAGAAACAGUUCUACGUGUAGAACCUUGACGGUACUGUAAGAAUAAGGAUCGGCUAACUCCGUGCCAGCAGCCGCGGUAAUACGGAGGAUCCAAGCGUUAUCCGGAAUCAUUGGGUUUAAAGGGUCCGUAGGCGGUUUUGUAAGUCAGUGGUGAAAGCCCAUCGCUCAACGGUGGAACGGCCAUUGAUACUGCAAGACUUGAAUCAUUGGGAAGUAACUAGAAUAUGUAGUGUAGCGGUGAAAUGCUUAGAGAUUACAUGGAAUACCAAUUGCGAAGGCAGGUUACUACCAAUAUAUUGACGCUGAUGGACGAAAGCGUGGGGAGCGAACAGGAUUAGAUACCCUAGUAGUCC
This 787-nucleotide ribosomal RNA is filed under the name uncultured bacterium. Its description in RNAcentral is "bacterial SSU rRNA". It matches the Rfam family "Bacterial small subunit ribosomal RNA", at positions 8 to 796 of the family's 1533-position model. The record is from RNAcentral.